This 3392-nucleotide ribosomal RNA is filed under the name Nitrososphaerota archaeon. RNAcentral's name for it is "23S ribosomal RNA". It matches the Rfam family "Archaeal large subunit ribosomal RNA". The record is from RNAcentral. Lineage: Archaea; Thermoproteati; Nitrososphaerota.
CCAUCCGACGCGCUGACGCUGUAUGGUGGAUGGCUUGGCUUGGAAGACGAAGAAGGGCGUGGCAAGCUGCGAUAUGCCUUGGGUAAGAGCAUGCAUCUGUUGAUCCGAGGAUUCCCGAAUGCGACUUCGUAGGAGAAUCCCUUCGGGGCUUCUCCUGUUCCCUUUGGGGAACGUGAACCUCUGCGAAAGGAAACAUCUGAGUAGCGAGUGGAAAAGAAAUCAAUUGAGAUACCGUGAGUAGCGGCGAGCGAAAGCGGCAUAGUCCAAACCGAAUCGCUGCAGUAAUGCAGUAGAGAUGUGGGGUGUGCUUGCAGCGUUUGCAACCCAAUCUGACCAUAGCGGAAGUCUGCUGGAAAGCAGCACCGUAGAGGGUGAUAGUCCCGUAUGCAUUGGAAGGAACGGGGUUGUGCUGCAAACCGAGUACUUGGCCUUGGCAGUGGCUAAGGAAGACGGGGGAAAGCGGCCUCCAAGACUAAACACUAUCCAAGACCGAUAGCGCAAUAGUACCGCGAGGGAAAGCUGAAAAGUACCCCGAAAGGGGUGUGAAAAGCGCCUGAAACCAUCCAGUUACAGACGUGUAUUGCAUGAAAGGGCCAGGACGUUGCCUGAUGAUGCCCGCAAGGGCGUCUGACGGUAGCGAACUAGACCCAGUGUGAUACAUUCCGUCUAGAAACACGGGCCGGGGAGUUUACGGUCAUGGCGAGCUUAAGGGUGACAAGCCCGGAAGCGAAGGGAAACCGACAUGCACGCAUCUGGCUUGACCAGUGAGGUGCGAGGUCUGAAAGGGCCUGGAGUCAUGGCAGUAAGACUAGAAACCAGACGAUCGUGUCUCGAGUAGGAUGAAGCCGAGCGAAAGCUUGGUGGAGGUCCGAAAGGGUCUUGACGUUCAAUUCAGUCCCCUAACUCGAGACAAGGGGCCAAAAGCCAAUCUAGUCUGGUGAUUGCUAGUUCCCAACGAAGCAGAUCCUAGUCUGGCCUGGACAGAUGUCGCUGACGCUGUAGAGCACCAAUGGGAAGCCAAGGGUCCGAAAGGGCCCAGCUUGCUUUUGAACUCCGAAUGUGUCAGCGCAGUAGAAGUCCGGAGACGGGUUUAUGUGGGGUAAGCCUCAUAACCAAGAGGGGGACAACCCAGACUAAAGUUAAGGCCCCCAAAUUUUGGCUAAGUGUCAAACAAAAGAGCGUCUUUGAGCAAAGACAGCAGGGAGGUAGGCUUAGAAGCAGCCACCCUUCAAAAAGUGCGUAACAGCUUACCUGCCGAGCUCAGAGGCCUCGAAAAUGGACGGGGCUAAAGCCAAGUGCCGAUACUUUAGACAACAAGCAGGAGCUUGUUUGUGGUAGUUGGGCGUAGAGGUUGGGUAGAAGCAGGGUCGUGAGAUCCUGUGGACCAUUCUCUAGUGCAGAUCCCGGUGGUAGUAGCAGCGUAGUCGGGUGAGAAUCCCGACCGUCGCAAGGGCAAGGUUUUCCUGGCAACGCGUCGUCGACCAGGAGUAAGUCGGUCCUAAGUGUAAUCCCAACGGCGUUACACGAAGAGGGAAACCCGUUAAUAUUCGGGUACCGCCUUGGUGUCGUUAUUGUCGAAUCACUUUUGCCUUGAGGUAGGGUGAGCAAGGUUGUCGCCUUGUUCAAUUGUUCGAGAGUGGGGGAGUGUCGUAAUGACGAGAACUCAUUCGAGACAAGAAUAGCAGGCCAUAUGGUCUGUUCACCUGAUCCUGAGGGACAUUGAAAGGAGUGGUUCUAAGACACCGGGGUGUCCGUACCGAGAUCCGACACAGGUGCCCCUAGGUGAGAAGCCUCAGACGUGUCGGGUGUACUGUAGGUAAGGGAACUCGGCAAAUCAGCCCCGUAACUUAGGAAUAAGGGGUGCCUGCGAUUUUAGUGAGAAACUGGAAUCGCAGGUUGCAAUAACUAGGGGGUCCCGACUGUUUAAUAAAAACACAGUUGACUGCUAAUCCGAAAGGACUUGUACAGUCAAUGAAUCCUGGCCAGUGGCGGUACCUAAAACCUGGGUUCAACCGGGCUAAGGGCCGCUUAACGCCGGGAGUAACUCUGACUCUCUUAAGGUAGCCAAAUGCCUUGUCGGGUGAGUUCCGACGUGCAUGAAUGGACCAACGAGGGCCCCACUGUCCCUAUCUGCGACCCGGCGAACCCACGUAAGGUGGACGAACAGUCCACCAACUUCCAUCGGGGAGAGAAGUCCCUGUGGAGCUUUACUGCAGCUUGUCGCUGCGAUGCGGUUCUGAUUGCAGAGUGUAGUCGGGAGCCGUCGAGAGAGGCCUUCCGGGGUCUCUAGAGGCAAAAGUGUAACACCGGCCUCUCAGAACUGCGUCGCUAACCUCGUCAGAGGAACACCGGCAGGUGGGCAGUUCGGCUGGGGCGGCACCCCCUUGAAAAAGUAUCGAGGGGGCCCAAAGGUUGGCUCAGGCGGGUCAGAACUCCGCCGUAGAGGGCAAGGCCAAAAGCCAGCUUGACUGUAUAUUCAAACGCGAAAUAUUCAGAGGCGAAAGCCUGGCCUAGCGAUCCUUUGUGUCCUCACAGUUGGAGGCCAAAGGUGACAGAAAAGUUACCCCAGGGGUAACAGGCUCGUCGCGGGCGAGAGCUCCAAUCGACCCCGCGGUUUGGUACCUCAGAAUGUAUCAAUCUGCAUGGGGUAGGACAACAGCAAUGUUGAUCCUAGUAUCGGCUUAUAACGGUGGAACCCUCCGCUAAUUUUAGGAACGGGAGAUGCUCUCUAGAGCAUCAAGAGCCAAGCGGAUUUGUUUAGGGCAAUACCGUGGGAAGUCCAGCAAGUUGCUUCAGCAAGAAUCUGAAAUCUAACAAGCAACGCUGUGACCCCGUAACGACUGAGGAUCUUUGAUCCAAUGAGAUAGCAAACGUGUGCUAUCACACGCCGACUCCUCUUUAGCUGAAAGAGGAUGGAGAUAUAGUCUACAACUCUUGGUAACAAGAGAGAUGAAUUGUGCGAUGUCGGCUCUUCCCAUCCCGGUCCUGCAGCAGGGGCCAAGGGUGGGGCUGCUCGCCCAUUAAAGGGGAACGUGAGCUGGGUUUAGACCGUCGUGAGACAGGUCGGUCUCUACCUGAUGGAAGCGGCGGCCAUCUGAGGGGAAGUUGUCCCUAGUACGAGAGGAACAGGGCAACGCGGCCUCUGGCAUACCGGUUCUCCGACAGGAGAAUAGCCGGGCAGCUAAGCCGUCUUAGAUAAGAGCUGAAGGCAUCUAAGCUCGAAGCUAGUCCCGAGAAAAGAUGACCAUCCGCUAUCUGUGUCCUCGCAAGGGGAUGCGGGUGCGGUGAAGAGCUGUCAUAGAAGAUGACGUUGAUAGGAGAGAGGUGUACGCUGGAAGGCUACGGCCGACCAGUUCAGCCUGCUCUUACUAAUCGCUCAAAGCGUUGGGAUA